Non-coding RNA from Triticum aestivum (bread wheat), 125 nucleotides. Lineage: Eukaryota; Viridiplantae; Streptophyta; Magnoliopsida; Poales; Poaceae. The record is from Rfam.
AUAAUACUCCUUCCGUCCGGAAAUACUUGUCAUUGAAAUAGAUGUAUCUAGAUGUAUUUUAGUUGUAGAUGCAUUCAUUUUUAUUCAUUUUAAUGACAAGUAUUUUCGGACGGAGGAAGUAUGUU